GCGCGAAAACUUUACAAUGCUGGCAACAGCGAUAAGGGAACCUCGAGUGCCAGGUUACAAAUCUGGCUGUCGAGAUGCCUAAAAAGCAUUUCAUAGCAAGGGCCGGGCAAGACCGGUGCCAGCCGCCGCGGUAACACCGGCGGCUCGAGUGGUAACCGUUAUUAUUGGGUCUAAAGGGUCUGUAGCCGGCCGGAUAAGUCUCUUGAGAAAUCUGGCAGCUUAACUGUCAGGCUUUCAGGAGAUACUGUCUGGCUCGAGGCCGGGAGAGGUGAGAGGUACUUCAGGGGUAGGGGUGAAAUCUUGUAAUCCUUGAAGGACCACCAGUGGCGAAGGCGUCUCACCAGAACGGAUCUGACGGCAAGGGACGAGAGCUAGGGGCACGAACCG
Molecule: ribosomal RNA, 387 nt
Filed under: uncultured bacterium
Lineage: Bacteria
Description: bacterial SSU rRNA
Rfam family: Archaeal small subunit ribosomal RNA
Source: RNAcentral